AGUGAACGCUGGCGGUAGGCCUAACACAUGCAAGUCGAACGGCAGCACAGUAAGAGCUUGCUCUUACGGGUGGCGAGUGGCGGACGGGUGAGGAAUACAUCGGAAUCUACUUUUUCGUGGGGGAUAACGUAGGGAAACUUACGCUAAUACCGCAUACGACCUACGGGUGAAAGCAGGGGAUCUUCGGACCUUGCGCGAUUGAAUGAGCCGAUGUCGGAUUAGCUAGUUGGCGGGGUAAAGGCCCACCAAGGCGACGAUCCGUAGCUGGUCUGAGAGGAUGAUCAGCCACACUGGAACUGAGACACGGUACAGACUCCUACGGGAGGCAGCAGUGGGGAAUAUUGGACAAUGGGCGCAAGCCUGAUCCAGCCAUACCACGUGGGUGAAGAAGGCCUUCGGGUUGUAAAGCCCUUUUGUUGGGAAAGAAAAGCAGCAGGUUAAUACCCCGCUGUUCUGACGGUACCCAAAGAAUAAGCACCGGCUAACUUCGUG
This 492-nucleotide ribosomal RNA is filed under the name uncultured bacterium. RNAcentral's name for it is "partial 16S ribosomal RNA". It matches the Rfam family "Bacterial small subunit ribosomal RNA", at positions 29 to 507 of the family's 1533-position model. The record is from RNAcentral.